GUGGGGAAUAUUGCACAAUGGGGGAAACCCUGAUGCAGCGACGCCGCGUGAAGGAAGAAGUAUCUCGGUAUGUAAACUUCUAUCAGCAGGGAAGAUAAUGACGGUACCUGACUAAGAAGCCCCGGCUAACUACGUGCCAGCAGCCGCGGUAAUACGUAGGGGGCAAGCGUUAUCCGGAUUUACUGGGUGUAAAGGGAGCGUAGGCGGCGGAGCAAGUCAGAAGUGAAAGCCCGGGGCUCAACCCCGGGACGGCUUUUGAAACUGCCCUGCUUGAUUUCAGGAUAGGUAAGCGGAAUUCCUAGUGUAGCGGUGAAAUGCUUAGAUAUUAGGAGGAACACCAGUGGCGAAGGCGGCUUACUGGACUGACAAUGACGCUGAGGCUCGAAAGCGUGGGGAGCAAACAGGAUUAGAAACCCCAGUAGUCC
This 425-nucleotide ribosomal RNA is filed under the name uncultured bacterium. RNAcentral describes it as "partial 16S ribosomal RNA". It matches the Rfam family "Bacterial small subunit ribosomal RNA", at positions 354 to 796 of the family's 1533-position model. The record is from RNAcentral.